GCAUUGCUGUCGAGUCCUAAACAGGACGAAACAACUGUCCAGUAU
RNAcentral lists this non-coding RNA (45 nucleotides) under Echinostoma caproni. Lineage: Eukaryota; Metazoa; Platyhelminthes; Trematoda; Plagiorchiida; Echinostomatidae. The record is from RNAcentral.